ACUGCAGGAGGAUUUCAGUGAUUCAUCAGGGGUACACAGAUGGCUCUAUCCUAGAAAUGUUCAUGCUUGAUUUCCAUGAGAUGCUCUUAAGCCCCUGUCAGCCUCUAGAAAGUCUUCUCAGAGCCUUUAAUAAGCUAAUGUACAUUGUGGAUCUCCAGGGGGAAAACUUAUACAGCAGGCUUCUAGGAGAAGACAAGAUAUGGAAAAUAGAACUGUGGACUG
Talpa occidentalis (Iberian mole) is the source of this 222-nucleotide long non-coding RNA. RefSeq lists it as uncharacterized. NCBI's taxonomy places the organism in Eukaryota, Metazoa, Chordata, Mammalia, Eulipotyphla, Talpidae. The transcript is spliced from 3 exons. The record is from RefSeq and is a predicted model, not a curated record.